UAAACACUGGUACUGAUCCUAAGAGUCAAAAUAAAGAUUUCUGUUCAAGGAGUGAAUGUAACUAAAAGCUGGGGGAGGAGUCACUAUGGCAGCACAAAUUGUCAUUUGAGUCCUAAAUGGCAGAGAAUUAAGCAGUAAAACUUCAGUGGCUUGAUCUAUAUACCAACACAGGUUUACAGGUUUAAUUACAGAAACACGUUUGUUUCUGGCCCCUCUUCAUAGAGAUUAAAUGUUUAAAAUUAUCUUUCCCUCUCC
Non-coding RNA from Pelobates cultripes (western spadefoot toad), 255 nucleotides. The record is from the annotation of a GenBank genome assembly. NCBI's taxonomy places the organism in Eukaryota, Metazoa, Chordata, Amphibia, Anura, Pelobatidae.